UAGGGAAUAUUGGGCAAUGGUCGAUAGACUGACCCAGCCAUGCCGCGUGCAGGAUGACAGCCUUAUGGGUUGUAAACUGCUUUUAUACGAGGGUAACAGUAGGUACGUGUACCUAUUUGAAAGUAUCGUAAGAAUAAGGAUCGGCUAACUCCGUGCCAGCAGCCGCGGUAAUACGGAGGAUCCAAGCGUUAUCCGGAUUUAUUGGGUUUAAAGGGUGCGCAGGCGGAUUGAUAAGUCAGUGGUGAAAUCUCUCAGCUUAACUGAGGAACUGCCAUUGAUACUGUUAGUCUAGAAUUUAGACGGCGUGGGCGGAAUAUGUCAAGUAGCGGUGAAAUGCGUAGAUAUGACAUAGAACACCGAUAGGGUAGCCAGCUCACGAGGCUAAUAUUGACGCUCAAGCACGAAAGCGUGGGGAUCAAACA
This 422-nucleotide ribosomal RNA is filed under the name uncultured Bacteroidota bacterium. RNAcentral describes it as "uncultured Bacteroidetes bacterium partial 16S ribosomal RNA". It matches the Rfam family "Bacterial small subunit ribosomal RNA", at positions 355 to 774 of the family's 1533-position model. The record is from RNAcentral. Lineage: Bacteria; Pseudomonadati; Bacteroidota.